Molecule: ribosomal RNA, 497 nt
Filed under: uncultured bacterium
Lineage: Bacteria
Description: partial 16S ribosomal RNA
Rfam family: Bacterial small subunit ribosomal RNA
Source: RNAcentral
GAUGAACGCUGGCGGCGUGCCUAAUACAUGCAAGUCGAGCGAACAGAUGAGGAGCUUGCUCCUCUGACGUUAGCGGCGGACGUGUGAGUAACACGUGGAUAACCUACCUAUAAGACUGGGAUAACUUCGUGAAACCGGAGCUAAUACCGUAUAAUAUAUUGAACCGCAUGGUUCAAUAGUGAAAGACGGUUUUGCUGUCACUUAUAGAUGUAUCCGCGCCGCAUUAGCUAGUUGGUAAGGUAACGGCUUACCAAGGCAACGAUGCGUAGCCGACCUGGGAGCGGGAAUCGGCACCGUGGGACUGAGCAACCGUACCGAGUCCUACGGGCGGCCGGAAGACGGAAUGUUUCCAACAGGGGGGAAGACUGAACGAGGCACGCCGGCGGGAUGCAGCAAGGCCGCGGGCUGGAAAACGGCCUUCUUAGGGUAAACCAAAUUUGGAAGGAACUAAGCAAGUUUUGACGGUACCUACAGAAGAAGCCCCGGCUAACUACGUG